GGACCUCACUGGCGAUCUGGCUGCGACAUCUGUCACCCACUGAUGGCCAGGGUUGAUUGGGCUGAUCCGGCUGGCAAGGCCGGUGUCCCCUUCCUCCCUCACCACUGGCUCCUUGUGUGUCCCUCCCGAAGCUGCGUGCUGGGUGGAAGAGGACAACCAUCCCCAAUGGAGGAGGACCAGUCUUCGGUCAAGGGCACAUGAGUAGCUGCGCUCCCCUGCUACAGCCUCCAAACAAGCUCUCAAGGAUUUUCUUUGUGUAUUCCAUAUAGAAGCAUAUGUCCAUAAACACCUAGACUUAGAUUAAACAGUGAACUAGU
Dipodomys ordii (Ord's kangaroo rat) is the source of this 317-nucleotide unclassified non-coding RNA. Its record names the gene 7SK. It matches the Rfam family "7SK RNA". From Rfam's summary of the family: 7SK was discovered as an abundant small nuclear RNA in the mid-70s but a possible function has only recently been suggested. Two independent studies have found that 7SK RNA binds the CDK9/cyclin T complex (known as elongation factor P-TEFb). The record is from Ensembl. Lineage: Eukaryota; Metazoa; Chordata; Mammalia; Rodentia; Heteromyidae.